RNAcentral lists this ribosomal RNA (829 nucleotides) under Rothia dentocariosa. RNAcentral's name for it is "bacterial SSU rRNA". It matches the Rfam family "Bacterial small subunit ribosomal RNA", at positions 78 to 914 of the family's 1533-position model. Lineage: Bacteria; Bacillati; Actinomycetota; Actinomycetes; Micrococcales; Micrococcaceae. The record is from RNAcentral.
GCUUGCUAGGUGGAUUAGUGGCGAACGGGUGAGUAAUACGUGAGUGACCUACCUUUGACUCUGGGAUAAGCCUGGGAAACUGGGUCUAAUACCGGAUACGACCAAUCUCCGCAUGGGGUGUUGGUGGAAAGCGUUAUGGAGUGGUUUUAGAUGGGCUCACGGCCUAUCAGCUUGUUGGUGAGGUAAUGGCUUACCAAGGCGACGACGGGUAGCCGGCCUGAGAGGGUGACCGGCCACACUGGGACUGAGACACGGCCCAGACUCCUACGGGAGGCAGCAGUGGGGAAUAUUGCACAAUGGGCGCAAGCCUGAUGCAGCGACGCCGCGUGAGGGAUGACGGCCUUCGGGUUGUAAACCUCUGUUAGCAUCGAAGAAGCGAAAGUGACGGUAGGUGCAGAGAAAGCGCCGGCUAACUACGUGCCAGCAGCCGCGGUAAUACGUAGGGCGCGAGCGUUGUCCGGAAUUAUUGGGCGUAAAGAGCUUGUAGGCGGUUGGUCGCGUCUGCUGUGAAAGGCUGGGGCUUAACCCUGGUUUUGCAGUGGGUACGGGCUAACUAGAGUGCAGUAGGGGAGACUGGAAUUCCUGGUGUAGCGGUGGAAUGCGCAGAUAUCAGGAGGAACACCGAUGGCGAAGGCAGGUCUCUGGGCUGUAACUGACGCUGAGAAGCGAAAGCAUGGGGAGCGAACAGGAUUAGAUACCCUGGUAGUCCAUGCCGUAAACGUUGGGCACUAGGUGUGGGGGACAUUCCACGUUUUCCGCGCCGUAGCUAACGCAUUAAGUGCCCCGCCUGGGGAGUACGGCCGCAAGGCUAAAACUCAAAGAAAUUGAC